AUUGAACGCUGGCGGCAUGCCUUACACAUGCAAGUCGAACGGUAACGCGGGGCAACCUGGCGACGAGUGGCGAACGGGUGAGUAAUACAUCGGAACGCGCCCAGUAGUGGGGGAUAGCCCGGCGAAAGCCGGAUUAAUACCGCAUACGACCUACGGGUGAAAGCGGGGGAUCGCAAGACCUCGCGCUAUUGGAGCGGCCGAUGUCAGAUUAGCUAGUUGGUGGGGUAAAAGCCUACCAAGGCGACGAUCUGUAGCUGGUCUGAGAGGACGACCAGCCACACUGGGACUGAGACACGGCCCAGGCUCCUACGGGAGGCAGCAGUGGGGGAAUUUUUGGACAAUGGGGGGCAACCCUGAUCCAGCCAUGCCGCGUGCGGGAAGAAGGCCU
This 388-nucleotide ribosomal RNA is filed under the name uncultured bacterium. RNAcentral's name for it is "bacterial SSU rRNA". It matches the Rfam family "Bacterial small subunit ribosomal RNA", at positions 29 to 417 of the family's 1533-position model. The record is from RNAcentral.